Molecule: ribosomal RNA, 339 nt
Filed under: uncultured Pseudomonadota bacterium
Lineage: Bacteria; Pseudomonadati; Pseudomonadota
Description: bacterial SSU rRNA
Rfam family: Bacterial small subunit ribosomal RNA
Source: RNAcentral
AAUGAACGCUGGCGGCGUGCCUAACACAUGCAAGUCGAACGAGAAAGCCUGGCUUGCCAGGCAAGUAAAGUGGCGCACGGGUGAGUAACGCGUGGGUAAUCUACCUUCGUCUGGGGGAUAACCUACCGAAAGGUGGGCUAAUACCGCAUGACGUGAUCGGGUUGCGACCUGAUCACCAAAGAUAGCCUCUCCCUGGAAGCUAUCGGGUGAAGAUGAGCCCGCGUCCCAUUAGCUAGUUGGUAAGGUAACGGCUUACCAAGGCGACGAUGGGUAGCUGGUCUGAGAGGAUGGCCAGCCACACUGGAACUGGAACACGGUCCAGACUCCUACGGGUGGCAG